This 452-nucleotide ribosomal RNA is filed under the name uncultured Actinomycetes bacterium. RNAcentral describes it as "bacterial SSU rRNA". It matches the Rfam family "Bacterial small subunit ribosomal RNA", at positions 94 to 523 of the family's 1533-position model. Lineage: Bacteria; Bacillati; Actinomycetota; Actinomycetes. The record is from RNAcentral.
AGUGGCGCACGGGUGAGUAACGCGUGGACAACCUGCCCUGGCAAACCGGAAUAACAUUGCGAAAGCGGUGCUAAUACCGGAUAAGCCCACGACCCCAAGGAGUCGCGGGAAAAAGGCGGCCUCUGACUCAAGCUGCCGUUUCAGGAUGGGUCCGCGUCCUAUUAGCUAGUUGGCAGGGUAAAUGCCUACCAAGGCGACGAUGGGUAGCUGGUCUGAGAGGAUGGUCAGCCACACUGGAACUGAGACACGGUCCAGACUCCUACGGGAGGCAGCAGUGGGGAAUUUUGCGCAAUGGGCGAAAGCCUGACGCAGCGACGCCGUGUGAGUGAUGAAGGCCUUCGGGUCGUAAAGCUCUGUCGGAGGGGAAGAAAUGCAGGGGUGCCAAUACCAUCCCCGCUUGACGGUACCCUCAAAGGAAGCACCGGCUAACUCCGUGCCAGCAGCCGCGGUAA